Oncorhynchus keta (chum salmon) is the source of this 3490-nucleotide RNA transcript. It is a transcript of the gene named protein ARV1-like, with no coding region annotated. The record is from RefSeq and is a predicted model, not a curated record. NCBI's taxonomy places the organism in Eukaryota, Metazoa, Chordata, Actinopteri, Salmoniformes, Salmonidae. The transcript has 6 exons.
CGGGAACAUUGGUAAUGUAGUUCCAGGGUACCUACGCCCCCUUUUGACCCAAACCGCUAGCCAAACUGCAAACGACUACAUUUCCCGACCAAUCAUGCAGAAAUCCAGGAAGUCAGAUUCCUCAAGCUGGUUGCUUAUCGUUGCCAAGUUGCCAACAUAAAACAGAAUGGCAAAUGGGUUCUUUAGAUGUUUUGAAUGCAAUAAGGACGCGCACGAGCUUCGCAAAGGUUACAGUAAUGGGAUCUUGAAGAUAAUAAUAUGUGAAUCCUUCCAAAGGCCUGUGGACAAGUACAUUGAAUCUGAUCAGUCAUUAUUCUGAUUGGUGCCAUUUUAUGCUAAACUCAAGCCUUCACACACAUUCUGUUCAGCAUUACAUUGAAUAUUCACUAGAAGCUGUGUGUGUUUUGCCUGCUGUGUGAGUCCUACCUGAGGUGGUCACAAAUGCAGGGAUUUGAACAGAACAAUGACCCUGCAGACAUCAUUAGAUACACCAACGAAUGGGAAUGUUUGGGAUGGCAGCUCUUGGUGUAUUGCUCAUGGAAAAAGCACAUUAUUACUAUAACAACUCAUGCACUCAUCAACAAACAUGCAUAUGACAAUGUUAAUAUCAAUGUUAUAACAAUGUUUCCAAGUCUGGUUGAAGUGACAAAUUCUGCUUUCUUUGACUUUGAACUGAGCUUAAUGCUGAAAGCCAUACUGCUGUCCAGCUAUGGCAACAUUCUGCUCAUCCCUAUAGUCAUAUGGGAGCAUGACUAUUCCCCGCUCUGUUUCAGCCUCAUCAAACUGUUUGUGCUCACGUCCAACUCUCAGGCUAUCAGAGUCAUUCUAUACUGCAGCAGAAGGCUCUCCCCGCUGGCUGUGUGUGUGGGUCUGCUAUUGGAGACCUGCAUAGCCCAGGCAUUUCAGACACUUCCAUGGAGCAUACCGGACAUCCUGCCGUUCCAGUGACCUGUUUCAGGCCGGUCCUAAAGAACACACUGUUACAAUGGCGCCUAUUAUACCCGGGACCAGAGAGCGGAGGACCUGAGCCCUAGGACCAUGCCUCAGGACUACCUGGCAUGAUGACUCCUUGCUGUCCCCAGUCCACCUGGCCGUGCUGCUGCUGCAGUUUCAACUGUUCUGCCUGUGGCUAUGGAACCCUGACCCGUUCACCGGACGUGCUACCUGUCCCAGACCUGCUGUUUUCAACUCUCUAGAGACAGCAGGAGCGGUAGAGAUACUCUAAAUGAUCGGCUUUGAAAAGCCAACUGACAUUUACUCCUGAGGUGCUGACUUGCUGCACCCUCGACAACUACUGUGAUUAUUAUUAUUUCACCAUGCUGGUCAUUUAUGAAUAUUUGAACAUCUUGCCCAUGUUCUGUUAUAAUCUCCACCCGGCACAGCGAGAAGAGGACUGGCCACCCCUCAUAGCCUGGUUUCUUCCUAGGUUUUGGCCUUUCUAGGGAGGUUUUCCUAGCCACCGUGCUUCUACACCUGCAUUGCUUGCUGUUUGGGGUUUUAGGCUGGGUUUCUGUACAGCACUUUGAGAUAUCAGCUGAUGUAAGAAGGGCUAUAUAAAUACAUUUGAUUUGAUUUUAAGCACACAUGCUGAAAGUGUUCCAGCAAGCGUGUAGUGAGUGCAGCAUUAUUCAACCUGGUGUAGUGGUAGAUCAUGAGUCUGGAUAAUCAGUUUAGUAUAACGAGAAUCACAUCAGAGCUAUUAGAAUGUUGAGACCAGUGCAUAAAUGUGCUGUUAAAGGGAAACAACAUUUGAGUCAUUGGGACAAAAGAUGUCAUGAAGAAUAGAGAAUUUGCAGUUGUAAUUCUCUAUCUCCGUGAAGGAGAUGAAGAAGAGCUUAGUGUAAGCUCAUGAGGAUAGUGCCAGCCAGGUCCAGGAUCACUGAAGGAGGGCUGACUGUUCUGUGCCAAAGCUGGGCUGUAAACUCUCAAUCAGCUUUUCAAAACCCUCUGGAAAAGUUAACCAAGGUUUCAGACAGCACAUCUGUUGACACAAUAAAGGUCAUAUGUGCUUCUAAUCACACCAUAUUUGAUUGCCAGUAAUGUAAGUGUUCAUCAACAAUUGUUUGAUGUUUUUAGUUUUGUGUUCAUCAUAUUUCUGAAUAAAACCAAACUUCAAGGAUACAUCUGAAAAUUCCUGAGCUGUAUUAGUUUUCUGGCGUUAGCAGAACCAAGGGGAUUUAUUGGUGUUAUUUCCCAUUAAUUGCUCAAGCUUUGUGGUGAGCAGUGUGUUUGUGGUCUAUGAAUGUUGGCACAGCCCAGUUGUACAUAGCCCAUUGCUUGUGUUGUAAACUGUCCCACCCCAGCAGCAGAAUUACACAUACCUUGGAUUUGCUUUCAAUCAAGAUUAUGUUAAUCUACCACAAUCUCUUAAACAGGUGCUCAGCCCAGCACAGAGGCAUGUUCACUACAGGCUGCAUUCCAAAAGGCAGUGGUGUAAAGUACUUAAGUAAAAAAUACUUGAAAGUAUUACUUAAGAAAUGUUUUGGGGUAUCUGUACUUUACUUUACUAUUUAUAUUUUUGACAACUUUUACUUUCACUUCACUACAUUCCUAAAGAAAAUUACCUAAUUUCUAGUCCAUACAUUUUCCUGAAACCCAAAAGUACUUGAUACAUUUUGAAUGCUUAGCAGGACAGGAAAAUUGUUUAAUUCACACACUUAUCAAGAGAACAUCCCUGGUCAUCCAUACUGCCUCUGAUCUGGCGGACUCACUAAACAAAAAUGCUUAGUUUGUAAAUUAUGUCUGACUGUUGGAGCGUGACCCUGGCUAUCCGUAACUUUAAAAAAUAAGAAAUGGUGCUGUCUGGUUUACUUAAUAUAAGGAAUUUGAAAUUAUUUAUACUUUUACUUUUGAUACUUAAGUAUAUUUGAGCAAUUACAUUUACUUUUGAUACUUAAGUAUAUUUAAAACCAAAUACUUUAAAACUUUUACUCAAGUAGGAUUUUACUGGGUGACUUUCACUUUUACUUGAGUCAUUUUCAAUUAGGGUAUCUUUACUUUUACUCAAGUAGGAAAACUGGGUACUUUUUCCACCACUGCCAAAAGGGCACUUCAUGCUAGUCAAUAUUUACCCCUACUUCUCCUUUGAAUACAAGUAGCUCAUAUUGUACUCUAAGGGACACACGCUGGUGUAUGAAGUGUGAGUGUGUGAAGAGGAGAUUCAUUCAGAUCUGCCUUAAUUUUAGCUGCCCAGCCGGAUUGGUUGCUUUAUAACGAUGGUUGACCGUUGCUCUCUGUCUGUGAGAAGAUACAGUAACAGGGUAACUAUCUGAGGGUCCACCAGUGUUGAUCACAUGACUUGUCUACGGAGCCUUGACCUGAUAAGAAAACACUUACAUAGCCAUAUUGUGCAAUAGCUCUCUACUUCACCUAAACUGCAAAUUCCAGAAGCUUUGCUUCUUAGUUUUCAGUAUGAGACAAUAACAAUGUUACCUUCAGCUGUACAUAUAAACUCAGCAAAAAAAUAAACAUCCUCUCACUGUCAACUGCA